UACGUAGGGUGCGAGCGUUGUCCGGAAUUACUGGGCGUAAAGAGCUCGUAGGUGGUUUGUCGCGUUGUUCGUGAAAACUCACAACUCAAUUGUGGGCGUGCGGGCGAUACGGGCAGACUGGAGUACUGCAGGGGAGACUGGAAUUCCUGGUGUAGCGGUGGAAUGCGCAGAUAUCAGGAGGAACACCGGUGGCGAAGGCGGCUCUUUGGUCUGUAACUGACGCUGAGGCGCGAAAGCGUGGGGAGCGAACAGG
Molecule: ribosomal RNA, 253 nt
Filed under: uncultured bacterium
Lineage: Bacteria
Description: partial 16S ribosomal RNA
Rfam family: Bacterial small subunit ribosomal RNA
Source: RNAcentral